This 387-nucleotide ribosomal RNA is filed under the name uncultured bacterium. RNAcentral describes it as "bacterial SSU rRNA". It matches the Rfam family "Bacterial small subunit ribosomal RNA", at positions 8 to 425 of the family's 1533-position model. The record is from RNAcentral.
AGAGUUUGAUCCUGGCUCAGAGCGAACGCUGGCGGCAGGCCUAACACAUGCAAGUCGAGCGCCCCGCAAGGGGAGCGGCAGACGGGAGAGUAACACGUGGGAACGUACCCUUCAGUUCGGAACAACCCAGGGAAACUUGGGCUAAUACCGAAUACGUCCGUAAGGAGAAAGAUUUAUCGCUGAAGGAUCGGCCCGCGUCUGAUUAGCUUGUUGGUGAGGUAACGGCUCACCAAGGCGACGAUCAGUAGCUGGUCUGAGAGGAUGAUCAGCCUCACUGGGACUGAGACACGGCCCAGACUCCUACGGGAGGCAGCAGUGGGGAAUAUUGGACAAUGGGCGCAAGCCUGAUCCAGCCAUGCCGCGUGGGUGAUGAAGGCCCUAGGGUUG